RNAcentral lists this ribosomal RNA (875 nucleotides) under Viana regina. Its description in RNAcentral is "partial 16S ribosomal RNA". The stretch from base 630 to 789 matches the Rfam family "Archaeal large subunit ribosomal RNA", at positions 1883 to 2090 of the family's 2987-position model. Lineage: Eukaryota; Metazoa; Mollusca; Gastropoda; Cycloneritida; Helicinidae. The record is from RNAcentral.
AUUUUUUUAAAAAUAUUAGUUUUGUGUGGAAUUUUUGAAAGAUUUAUUUUAAUAGUAGUGGUGAGUGAAAUUUUUAUUGGGUAAAUUAGUAUUUAAAUCGUUGGAGAAAUUUUUGGGAUUUUUAAUAGUAGUUUUUAAUUGAUGUACCUUUUGUUUAAGGGAUAGUUGAGGUUUAUUGUAGGAUUAGAUUUUCUCGAAGUUUAAUGAGCUAUUUUAUUUAAAUUGCUAGUGUUGAAAUAUUAGAGUUGAUUUUAAAAUUGAAGUUAGAUGCUUUUCGCAUUACUUGAUAGCUAGUUUUGUUGGUAAAUGUAUAUUAGUACUGUUUUUAAAUUUUUAAAGACAUAUUUGUAGAGAGAUGAGUUUUUAUAAUUUUAAUGGCUUUAUUUUUUUAAAGCUUUGUAAUGUGGGAAUUAUAUUUGUCAUCAAUUAAUUUUUGUUAUUAAAUAGCUGUUAAUAGUUCUAUUAUUUAUAUUUAGGUCGUGUUUUUAUCUUAAAAUUAUAGAAAUUUGUGUUUCUUUGAGUUAUUAUGAUAAUAUGAGUAUUUUAUUUUUAGAGGUUAAUUUUUUUAAAUAAUAUUUAUAUUAAAUUUAAUUGUGUAUUUAAUUAUUAAUAAGUAACUCGACAAAUAUAUAUUCCAACUGUUUAUCAAAAACAUUUCUCUUAGUUAAUUAUUUCGAGUUAUACCUGCCCAGUGAUAUGUUAAACGGCUGCGGUACCCUGACUGUGCGAAGGUAGCAUAAUCUAUUGCCUUUUAAUUGGUGGCUAGUAUGAAUGGUGAAAUGUGAGUGUAAUUGUCUCUUUUGUAAUUUUUAAAAUUUAAUUUAUAAGUGAAAAGGCUUAUAUAAAUUAAAAAGGCGAUGAGACCCUGUUGAGCC